GAAACAUUAAAAAUCAAGAUUAGUUAGAUUUUCUGUUAUAAAUGUCACCUUUAACUUGACAAAUGGAGCGGAGCACAUGAUGAAUUGUUGACUUAGGUUAUGAUCCAUGAUAUUAAGUAUUAUGCUUUUUUAUAAAUGUCAUUUAUUUCUAGAUAGAAAACAAACAUGAGUGCACUAAAAAACUCCAAUCCCUUGUUUUACAGGUACCUCUAGUGCAAGUACAGCAGGUCCAGACUGUCCUGGGAAAUCAACCUCUGACAAAGUUUGGAAGCUGAUAACAAAUGUGUGAGCCACCACAUGAGCUCUGUGUAACUGAAUCAAUCAAUGAAGCUACAGAAGUCUCUCAGACCCAACACUCUCACCCAUGUCACCACUUAAUUGCUGCACAUCUGCCUGGCUCCCCAUCCUUCACCCCACACCUCUCCGAGCCCAGACACAGAUGGGUAGACAUGGGGACAGACAGGCCAGGCGCCCCCAGCAAACCAGCCAGUCUUCCAGUCCUGGAACGAAGAGCCUGAUGCAGGAACCCAUGGUAUCCAUUACACACACACACACACACACAUAUACACAAAAACACUCA
Molecule: long non-coding RNA, 580 nt
Filed under: Mastacembelus armatus (zig-zag eel)
Lineage: Eukaryota; Metazoa; Chordata; Actinopteri; Synbranchiformes; Mastacembelidae
Description: lncRNA (ENSMAMG00000024505.1)
Source: RNAcentral